RNAcentral lists this transfer RNA (73 nucleotides) under Ornithorhynchus anatinus (platypus). It matches the Rfam family "tRNA". From Rfam's summary of the family: Transfer RNA (tRNA) molecules are approximately 80 nucleotides in length. Lineage: Eukaryota; Metazoa; Chordata; Mammalia; Monotremata; Ornithorhynchidae. The record is from Rfam by way of RNAcentral.
AGCAGUGUAGUCUAGUGGAAGGAGCACUGGCCUGGGAGCCAGAAGGACCUGGGUUCUAAUCUCAGCUCUGCCA